CCCUUAGAUGUUCUGGGCCGCACGCGCGCUACACUGACGAAUGCAACGAGCUUAUAACCUUGGCCGAAAGGUCUGGGUAAUCUCCAAAUUUCGUCGUGAUGGGGAUAGAUUAUUGCAAUUAUUAAUCUUCAACGAGGAAUGCCUAGUAAGCGCAAGUCAUCAGCUUGCGUUGAUUACGUCCCUGCCCUUUGUACACACCGCCCGUCGCUCCUACCGAUUGAAUGGUCCGGUGAAGCGUUCGGACCGUGGCCUUUGGACGGUUCGCCGUCUGUUGGCUGCGGGAAGUUCGUUAAACCUUAUCAUUUAGAGGAAGGAGAANUCGUAACG
RNAcentral lists this ribosomal RNA (327 nucleotides) under uncultured eukaryote. Its description in RNAcentral is "partial 18S ribosomal RNA". It matches the Rfam family "Eukaryotic small subunit ribosomal RNA", at positions 1470 to 1796 of the family's 1831-position model. The record is from RNAcentral.